UACGUAGGAGGCGAGCGUUGUCCGGAAUUACUGGGCGUAAAGGGCUCGUAGGCGGCCAACUAAGUCAGACGUGAAAUCCCUAGGCUCAACCUAGGAACUGCGUCUGAUACUGGAUGGCUUGAAUCCGGGAGAGGGAUGCAGAAUUCCAGGUGUAGCGGUGAAAUGCGUAGAUAUCUGGAGGAACACCGGUGGCGAAGGCGGCAUCCUGGACCGGCAUUGACGCUGAGGCGCGAAAGCCAGGGGAGCAAACGGG
Molecule: ribosomal RNA, 253 nt
Filed under: uncultured bacterium
Lineage: Bacteria
Description: partial 16S ribosomal RNA
Rfam family: Bacterial small subunit ribosomal RNA
Source: RNAcentral